Gossypium raimondii (Peruvian cotton) is the source of this 847-nucleotide RNA transcript. RefSeq lists it as uncharacterized. The transcript is spliced from 5 exons. Lineage: Eukaryota; Viridiplantae; Streptophyta; Magnoliopsida; Malvales; Malvaceae. The record is from RefSeq and is a predicted model, not a curated record.
UACAAAUGUUUCACAACCUUUUGUAGGAAGGAGUUGCCCAUUUGCUUCUCUAAAGAAUUACCAAGUUGAUAGAAACAAAGAAAUGAUGGCCCUCGGUCUCUAAUGAAUAUGGCUGGUUCUUGCACUUCAUGCUAUGUUACAUCAGGUUGGGGUUUCUGUAGUCAAGAUUCUCUUGCAUGUCACCAGGCCAAACACUGGAAAUUGGGAAUAUAUUCCAUCAACACAGAUGCAAAGGUGCCUUCAUUUCUCAUACUGGCCACCCAAUUUCCAAUCUACUUCGAAAAUUCAACUUAUCUACAAGAAAGCCUAGCAGAUUACAGUAAAAGCAUUCUAGUGAGCAAAUGUUUGGCUGAAUAAAGGAAUUAUUGAUAUGUCCCCUUGUGUGUGAAUGUGAUGGAGAAAUUACAUAAUUCCAAAAUCCUUUGGAAUGAAUUCAGUCUAUCUAACAGUGGGAGACAUCUUAGCAUCAUGGAAGCCUCAGGGAAAGAAAUAAUAAUUACGUAUUGAUAGAUAUUUGAUGGGAAUAAGAUGAGGAGUGCUUGUUGAUGGCGUUGAAUAGCCGAUUCUGAUGGGUCCCAAGUGCCUAUUCAGGCCACAUUCAUCAUUGCCUGCAAUGAGUUAAUCCAAUAAAUAGAAACUGUUGCUUUAUGAAUCAGUCCUGAAUGAGUUGGCGAGGAAAGUGCUUGUCUAAUCCUUCCAGACCCUUGGGCAGUCUUGAAAGAGGUUUAGCAUAGACCUGACUUCUUUUUUUUUUAACUUCAUUUUGUGAGCAAUACCCUAAAUCAUUUAAACAUUAUGAUUUGGUUUAAUGAAGAGAAAAAAAUAGGUUAAACUUUGUUGCAUUCCA